UACUGCAGUCUCAUGAGCUACCUGCAUGGCACCCAGAAUGCUGGGUCCACUCUGAGCUUGGCAGGGAUGCUGACAUAUUGUGGGCUGUAAUUGGAAGGAAUGGCUUGUGUCUGGUGAGUUCUCUUUCCGUCCUCUGUACAGCCUGCAGAUGGUCCUACGGUCCAUUGCUGAGGCAGAGAGCCUGCUGGGCACGGUGUCUGUUUAUUCCAGGUCUGGCAUAUGGCCCUGUUUCAGGGUGUGAGAGGAAGGCCUCUCUGCCUUUCAAAUCCAUUUCCCAUUUUUUUAUGUCCCUAUUCAUGCAUUUCAGGACUUCAUUAAAAAGGAACCACUGGAUUCCCUGGUAUCUCCAGUUCGCUACAAGGCAAUUUUGGCCAUUGGACAUCUGAGCAAACUCAAACCAUCUCUGACCAUGGAGGAAAACCGUGAGCUCCUUUAUCAGUGCUUCAGAAGUUUAUUUCCCCUUCCUCUCUUGGAGAUGAUGAAAGAGGAAGGCGAGACAGCAAAGGAUGCUCUGCAUAUACAAUCACUCUACGUGAGGUCCUUGGAAGCCCUUGGCAAGCUAAUGGAGACUUUGCUGG
Long non-coding RNA from Mauremys reevesii (Reeves's turtle), 578 nucleotides. RefSeq lists it as uncharacterized. The transcript is spliced from 3 exons. The record is from RefSeq and is a predicted model, not a curated record. NCBI's taxonomy places the organism in Eukaryota, Metazoa, Chordata, Testudines, Geoemydidae.